Long non-coding RNA from Erigeron canadensis, 386 nucleotides. RefSeq lists it as uncharacterized. The transcript is spliced from 2 exons. NCBI's taxonomy places the organism in Eukaryota, Viridiplantae, Streptophyta, Magnoliopsida, Asterales, Asteraceae. The record is from RefSeq and is a predicted model, not a curated record.
UUACUCUCAUCAUACAUCAAAAUGGUUUUUUGUGUAGUUUUACAUUGUUUUUUGUUAUAUCAUUGAAGAGGUCAAAAUAAGUCUUCUUGGAGAGAUUCGGCUCUGCAAUGCUUCCAAAUGUAUAUAGAGCAACUUUGUGACUGAUGAGACCAUGAGAAUCGUUGUGGUCAUGUUUGAUGAGGCUGGUAGAACUGCCAAGUCCGUGGUAGAUGAGCCCGUUUUGCCUUCUAUUAUAGAAGCACUGAUUGGCAUAAAACACGUGGAUGACGAUUUCAUCGAGAACGUUGGUGGCAACCCAUAUUUAGAAAAUAUAUUGUGUGAUGUUAACUGUUUUAAACCUAUGAUGUGCGAUUCUAAGACCAAAUUUAUUACUUGAUUUUUUCUUU